UGUAAGCACUGCAGCUUUAAAUAGUGCUGCAUCAAGCCCUGGAUUCCUUCCAUAGCCGAGCUGCAAAAUGGUAACUAGAAAGGAGGAAAAAAUGCCUCUUCCUCCCUCCCGGCCAGCCCUUCCACAGCUCCCGUCAGGGCAGCUAGCGCGAGCCCAUCCCCCACGCCUCCCAGCCCAGGCGCGCGGCGGGCACAGGUGAGCCGGGCGCCAACCUCGGCCCUCGGGCUCGCCCACAUCCGGGGAUCAAGGUCAAGGGCGAGGGCUUCCUUCCCCCGCCCCCGGCCCCCCGGCAGCCCCGAGCCCGGGAUCUGCUGCCAAAGUUUCAGGCCGGGCUGCGGCCGGCGCGGCUGUCGCAGCUCCCCCGCCCUCCCGCACCUGCUCGGCCCGUCCGGGUCGGAGGACAGCGCCCACCUGGUCCCCACUCACCUCUAGCGGACAUGGUUGGUGCAGGCAGCGGGAGCUGCCGCUGGAAGGCGGAGGACAGCCCCGCGGGGCGCGGGAGAAAGGCAGCCCCGCAGCGCCUGCCCGGCCCCGGCGCCCUCCGGCUCGCGGUGUUGCAGCAAGAGCACUGGUCUGCCAUGACCUGCUGCAUUCUACCUGGAAGUACAAGUCAAAAGUCAGCCUGUCAUACUUUUUCGAAAGAUGACUUGUCAAAAUGAGACUUCAUUCAUAAAAUCAGUCUGGCUGGACACAGUGGCUCAUGCCUGUAAUCCUAGCACCUUGGGAGGCUGAGGUAGGUGGAUAGCUUGAGCCCAGAAGUUUGAGACCAGCCCGGGCAACAUGGCAAAACCCCACCUCUACAAAAAAUACAAAAAUUACCCAGAUGUAGUGUCACACACCUGUGGUCCCAGGUACUAGGGAGACUGAGAUAGGAGGAUCACCUGAGCCCAGAAGAUUGACUGCCCUGAGCCAGGAUUGGGCCACUGCACUUCAGUUUGGAGGAGAGAGUGAAACUCUGUCUCAAAACAAACAAACAAAACCUCUCAAUCUGUCCAAAUAGGCAGAUUGUCUUCCAUAAUCUUCCACCAUGGUCUUCCUUUGUGAAGUUUCUACUACUACUCUGAUGCUACACGAUUAAGGAAUAUCGUUGUCACUGUCUUUCUAAAUUUGUUGUUCAAUACUUCCUUUCCCCCUCAUUCAUCAUCCAGACAUACAUUUUAAUAAUAUCAAACUCCUUGUAGUUCCCCUAAAUAAAUCAUGUUGUUUCCCUCA
Molecule: non-coding RNA, 1212 nt
Organism: Callithrix jacchus (white-tufted-ear marmoset)
Lineage: Eukaryota; Metazoa; Chordata; Mammalia; Primates; Cebidae
Source: RefSeq, a predicted model, not a curated record